This 253-nucleotide ribosomal RNA is filed under the name uncultured bacterium. Its description in RNAcentral is "partial 16S ribosomal RNA". It matches the Rfam family "Bacterial small subunit ribosomal RNA", at positions 524 to 776 of the family's 1533-position model. The record is from RNAcentral.
UACGUAGGGGGCAAGCGUUGUCCGGAAUCAUUGGGCGUAAAGCGCGUGUAGGCGGUCCGGUAAGUCGGUUGUGAAAGUCCAGGGCUCAACCCUGGGAUGCCGACCGAUACUGUCGGACUAGAGUUCGGAAGAGGCGAGUGGAAUUCCCGGUGUAGCGGUGAAAUGCGCAGAUAUCGGGAGGAACACCAAUGGCGAAGGCAGCUCGCUGGGACGUUACUGACGCUGAGACGCGAAAGCUAGGGGAGCGAACAGG